GUGAUGGGCGCAGCCUGAUCAGCCAUGCCGCGUGAGUGAUGAAGGCCCUAGGGUUGUAAAGCUCUUUCAGCGAGGAGGAUAAUGACGUUACUCGCAGAAGAAGCCCCGGCUAACUUCGUGCCAGCAGCCGCGGUAAUACGAAGGGGGCUAGCGUUGUUCGGAAUCACUGGGCGUAAAGCGCACGUAGGCGGACUGAUCAGUCAGGGGUGAAAUCCCGGGGCUCAACCCCGGAACUGCCUUUGAUACUGUCAGUCUUGAGUCCGAGAGAGGUGAGUGGAACUCCGAGUGUAGAGGUGAAAUUCGUAGAUAUUCGGAAGAACACCAGUGGCGAAGGCGGCUCACUGGCUCGGUACUGACGCUGAGGUGCGAAAGCGUGGGGAGCAAACAGGAUUAGAUACCCCGGUAGUCA
This 409-nucleotide ribosomal RNA is filed under the name Roseibium hamelinense. RNAcentral's name for it is "bacterial SSU rRNA". It matches the Rfam family "Bacterial small subunit ribosomal RNA", at positions 368 to 796 of the family's 1533-position model. Lineage: Bacteria; Pseudomonadati; Pseudomonadota; Alphaproteobacteria; Hyphomicrobiales; Stappiaceae. The record is from RNAcentral.